Molecule: transfer RNA, 64 nt
Filed under: Cavia porcellus (domestic guinea pig)
Lineage: Eukaryota; Metazoa; Chordata; Mammalia; Rodentia; Caviidae
Rfam family: tRNA
About the family: Transfer RNA (tRNA) molecules are approximately 80 nucleotides in length. Their secondary structure includes four short double-helical elements and three loops (D, anti-codon, and T loops).
Source: Rfam by way of RNAcentral
GGGGAUUUAGCUUAGUGGCAUAAGCACCUGCCUCGCAAGCUGGCAGUCAUGAGUUCAAUCCCCA